ACUCCCUCUCUACACCACAACAGAAUCACUCAGUUCUCACAGCCCUUCUUUCUGCUGAGCCCAGAUAAGAACUCAGAAUCCUUCUCAAAAGCGGUUCUCCAGGCAGCAAUUUGCCAUUGAUUAGAGUUGGUGCUCAAGAUAGAACCCAUGUUAUAUCCUUUCUAUCUAGUCUUAUAUUUAACCUUGAAGGACUUCUGCUCCAUCAUGCAAUGAUGACUUCUAAUGUCACCUUCAGUAAUAAUAUUCUAUGACUACAUGACCCUAUAUGUCUAUGAACGUGUCUUCGGUUGCAUUAGCUUUCUUAGAAGUUUUUCUCUAAACUGUAGAGUCAACUAAACAUGUCAAGUCUUUUUCAAAAAGAUUGCUAUUAUUAGUUUUCUAUGUCAUGUGUCAGCGCAGCUGACUUUCUAAACCUGAGUUUAGGACUUUCCAUUGAUUCCUUUUAAAUUUUAUCAAGUUAGUUCAGGUCGAUCAUUCCAGCUUGUUAGAGGUUUUUUUGCAAAGCAAUUCCAUUAUCCAAGAAAUGAGUCAUCUCCCCUAACUUUUGGCAGCUGCAAAUUUGAUAAUCAGGUUGGUUUUAUUUUCACAAAAAAAUUGUUUAAAAUAUUUAGCAGGACGGGACCAAGGACAAAACCCUUGACUAGAGACCUCCCUUCUGUGGCAUGUGAUCCAUUAUUAAUGGAAAGGAAAGCCCUGCAACCUGGGGUCACUGAGAGUGCCCAGGGUAGGGAUGUUUGAGGUCACUGUGCAGCCUGGAUUCUCAACCAGCUGAACCAGUCUAAUGGAGAAACAACCUUGGGCUCUUUACCCAUAAGGAUUUCUCCUCGCCCUUGGUCAGAUGGAUCCAGCCGUUUUCCCUUGGUGCAUUCCCACAUCCAAAAUGGAAAUGCUAACCUCUCUAAUGAUGCUAGUAAAGCUCUCUGAGAUCUCUGGCUGAAAGCUGGUAUGCAAUGCAGAUUCAGGUACUACUUCACGAUUGCUACUGCAGUUUCUAAAGCACCUUUCCUUCUUCCUGCCGUGGCUCAGCAUGCCCUGUGUUUCUCCUUCAGCAUUUUCCUAUGGCUAGCAUCUGCUCUGUUCUAUUCUGACUCUCCCUCCUGAGAGCUAGCCAGCUGUCCAUGCCAGGUGAUGCUUUGGGAGGACACAGGGCCUGAAUGUGUUUGCAUGUGUGUAAGUCGGUGUGUGUCCGGGUGUGUUUGUGGAAGCAGGGUGAGGGGAAGAGGAGGAAGAGGAGGGCGUAAAGUGGUUCCAGCCAGCCUGGUUUGCAUGAAGCAUGUUUAUGCACAGUUGGCAAAUUUCCAACAGGUGCCAUUCACGUCAGUUGGUGCAAGAGGCCCCUUGGCCCCGGCUGAUUGCACCACUCUGGGCAGUUGUCCAAAGCAGCAUUAUCUGUGCCUCUUGCAAUGUCAGUGGCUUCCUCCAGCCUGCCCUGUUUGUCCUUCUUAGACCCUCGGACAGGCCCAUUCAUCCUCAGCAGCACUUCUCAGGGGAAGGGACAGAUCUAGAAUAGAUUAGUAGAAGCAGCACAGAGAAGAGUCCUCUUUGGGUCUGAUGGCCUUUUCCAGAAAGAGCAGACUCUUCCAGGUAGUGCUUGCAAUGUGAAACCCUAGACACCUUGGGCUUUCCCCCCUUGCCCAAUCCCACAGAAUUAUGAUGUUCAUCAACAUGCAUAAUUUAUGAAAGAACACAUAAAAAAGCGCUUUGCACAUGUUAAAGUUUUAUAAAACAUAUAAGGUAGUCUUGUGAUUUGUGAAGCUUUUAUAUGUCCCCAUACCCAUUUCAGGUACAUUUACACACACACACCCUCGCAUUUGCUGCAUUUCACAUCUGUUGGGCUGCCCCUGAAGGACACAAUCUAAUUCCCUGUUAUCAUGAAUAAAUAAUGAUAGCAGAACAACAAAGAAGAACAGGAAACACAAAGUGGUACUACGGCCAGUAAAGCCUCUGUGCAUAUGAUAUCCUGAAUUUCUUUUAUUAAUUUCUCUAGUUCUGUUCCAUUUAUCUGUCUGAGCACCAGAGGGCUAAGCCACAGAUACAAGGUCCUCUCUCCUCUGUGAUCAGCCACAUGUCUCUGCUUCUGUGCAUUCUACUCUAGAAUGGACACACCUGGUAACAUGGUUUGAAUGUGACUCUCCAUAUCUCAUGUUGAAACGUGACCUCCAGUGUUUGAGGUGGGCGCAGUGGGAGGCAUUUGAGUCUGGGGGCAGAUCCCUCAUGAAUAUGUCGUUGCUGUCCUCAUGGUAAUGAGUGAGCUCCCACUCUGUUAGUUCACGUAAGAGCUGAUUGUUUAAAAAGAGCCUGGCACCUCCUCCUCUCUCCUGUUGCUCCCUCUCUCCCCAGGUGACAUGACAGCUCCCCACUCACCUUCUGCCAUGACUGCAAGCUUCCUGAGGCCUCAUGAGAAGCUGAGCAGAUGUGAGUGCCAUGCUAGUACAGCCUGCAGAACUAUGAGCCAAAUAAACCUCUUUUCUUAAGUUACUCAGCAUCAUUUAAUGCAAUUACUAUAAUUGCAUUCUUUUAUAGCAAUGCAAAAUGGACAAACACACUAUGGCUGCCUGACCUUCCAUAGUGAAAAGAGGAUAUUAGGCAUGAGUGUAUUGUCAUUUAUAAAGCAUGAUGCUGAUACGUAGAACUGUUUGGUUCUUUCCAGGUAAUGCAUCCCAUUUAUGUACAGGGGCAAUUCUGAAGCUACAUGACAUGGAAAAAGACUGUCCUUUUCCCGUUUGGCUACAUAGAAUGGCAGUGCUUACUGUUGCAAACAGUGAGUUCACUGUUCAACUCCAGGCCCCAGCCUCUGACAUCAAGCUCUGGAUUGUCUGCUGACUAAAGUGCUAGAAGACAAAGAAACUGAAUAGAAGGAAGGCUCGUGGGACCCCUGCAUUCUGCUUGCUUAUUCUUAGAGGCCACCCCUCCACAGAAGACUUCUUAGGACAUUGCCUUGCUGUGGUUCUGCACCAGUUGCUAUGUCUGGAUAUGAAAUAAUUCUAGCGAGAUCCUCGUUAAAAUGCUAAGCAAAAGCAAAGCUUUAUGAAGCACAUAAUAUUCAUACAAGUUUAAGAAAAAUAUCCAUCCAUUUGGAGAACAAAUGUUUUUGAAACUCUAUGCAAACUCUUAAUUACGAUACAUUUUUACUUUUCAUUAUAGUAGGUUCUUAGAGGACUUUUACUUCAUAGCAUUUUAUACCUGAGUUAUUGUUAUUAUUGAAAGAAAAUUGAAAUAAAUUUCACAAUCCUUUGCCAUA
Homo sapiens (human) is the source of this 3241-nucleotide long non-coding RNA. RefSeq lists it as uncharacterized. NCBI's taxonomy places the organism in Eukaryota, Metazoa, Chordata, Mammalia, Primates, Hominidae. The transcript has 3 exons. The record is from RefSeq and is a predicted model, not a curated record.